AUUGAACGCUGGCGGCAGGCCUAACACAUGCAAGUCGAACGAGUGGCGGACGGGUGAGUAAUGUCUGGGAAACUGCCUGAUGGAGGGGGAUAACUACUGGAAACGGUAGCUAAUACCGCAUACCAUCAGAUGUGCCCAGAUGGGAUUAGCUAGUUGGUGGGGUAACGGCUCACCAAGGCGACGAUCCCUAGCUGGUCUGAGCGGAGUACAAGCCGCACUGGAACAGAGAAACGGUCCAGACUCCUACGCGAGGGAGCAGUGGGGAAUAUUGCACAAUGGGGGCAAGCCUGAGGCAGCCAUGCCGCGUGUAUGAAGAAGGCCUUCGGGUUGUAAAGUACUUUCAGCGGGGAGGCGUUACCCGCAGAAGAAGCACCGGCUAACUCCGUGCCAGCCGCCGCGGUAAUUC
This 406-nucleotide ribosomal RNA is filed under the name uncultured bacterium. Its description in RNAcentral is "partial 16S ribosomal RNA". It matches the Rfam family "Bacterial small subunit ribosomal RNA", at positions 30 to 526 of the family's 1533-position model. The record is from RNAcentral.